AGAGUUUGAUCCUGGCUCAGAUUGAACGCUGGCGGCGUGCUUAACACAUGCAAGUCGAACGUGAAAGUCCUUCGGGAUGAGUAAAGUGGCGCACGGGUGAGUAACGCGUGGAUAAUCUACCUUCAAGAUGGGGAUAACGGCUGGAAACGGUCGCUAAUACCGAAUAAGCUGUAGGUUUUGAAUUUACGGUAAAGAUGGCCUCUGCAUGCAAGCUAUCGCUUGAAGAUGAGUCCGCGUCCCAUUAGCUGGUUGGCGGGGUAACGGCCCACCAAGGCGACGAUGGGUAGCCGGUCUGAGAGGAUGAUCGGCCACACUGGGACUGGAACACGGCCCAGACUCCUACGGGAGGCAGCAGUGGGGAAUAUUGCGCAAUGGGCGAAAGCCUGACGCAGCGACGCCGCGUGAGGGAUGAAGGUCUUCGGAUCGUAAACCUCUGUCAGGAGGGAAGAAGUGGUUAUAUGCGAAUAGUGUAUGACUUUGACGGUACCUCCAAAGGAAGCACCGGCUAACUCCGUGCCAGCAGCCGCGGU
Molecule: ribosomal RNA, 530 nt
Filed under: uncultured bacterium
Lineage: Bacteria
Description: bacterial SSU rRNA
Rfam family: Bacterial small subunit ribosomal RNA
Source: RNAcentral